UAGUUGAGCUCUGCUUAAUCCGGGCCU
Molecule: non-coding RNA, 27 nt
Filed under: Mus musculus (house mouse)
Lineage: Eukaryota; Metazoa; Chordata; Mammalia; Rodentia; Muridae
Source: RNAcentral